RNAcentral lists this ribosomal RNA (459 nucleotides) under uncultured bacterium. Its description in RNAcentral is "partial 16S ribosomal RNA". It matches the Rfam family "Bacterial small subunit ribosomal RNA", at positions 338 to 795 of the family's 1533-position model. The record is from RNAcentral.
CCUACGGGUGGCAGCAGUGAGGAAUAUUGGUCAAUGGCCGAGAGGCUGAACCAGCCAAGUCGCGUGAGGGAAGACGGCCCUACGGGUUGUAAACCUCUUUUGUCGGGGAGCAAAGCGAGUCACGGGUGACUCUGUGAGAGUACCCGAAGAAAAAGCAUCGGCUAACUCCGUGCCAGCAGCCGCGGUAAUACGGAGGAUGCGAGCGUUAUCCGGAUUUAUUGGGUUUAAAGGGUGCGCAGGCGGGGGUGCAAGUCAGCGGUAAAAUUGCGGGGCUCAACCCCGUACUGCCGUUGAAACUGCAUCCCUAGAGUGCGAGAGAGGUAUGCGGAAGGCGAGGUGUAGCGGUGAAAUGCAUAGAUAUCACGCAGAACUCCGAUUGCGAAGGCAGCAUACCGGCGCGCAACUGACGCUCAUGCACGAAAGCGUGGGUAUCGAACAGGAUUAGAUACCCGGGUAGUC